AAAAGCUUCUGUUAUUUCGGAGAGUAGCUAGCUAGGUUGUAUAUUCUAACACAGAGUAACAAUUUUUUUUGAAUCAUCAAAUUAACGAAUGUUUUGUUUUUCAAUUUGGUGAGUGAACGAAUGCUAAACAAUAAAUUUGCUCAUUCUUGGCUUUUGUUCUUUAACUCUAGUGUAGAAUAGUUUUAGUUUAAAUAUUGCUCCAGAAGAAAAAAGGAGUCACUAGGGUUUUACCAUUACCAUUGAACAAUGUAAUUUCCCUACACAUACAUACAUGGAAGCAAACUAGCUAGUUGCAUUGAAUCACUUGAGAAGCAGCAGGAAAUCAUUGACCAUACAUAGACUUCCAGAAAAAUAAGACUACAAGAGAUGCUGAAAUCUGAAAAUCACGAGAACAAGGACGAGUGCCACCAACUGUAGAAUGUGAAUUGACUGAUGACUGACUGACUGACUAUGCAUGGGUCAGUAAAUGUAUGUAUUGUACUGCACAUGACAAAUGAUUGAUAUCCAGGAUCAUAUGGUGUUAGAAGGGAGAGAUGAAACAAUUCCUUACACAUUUUCAUUUAGAGGUUAAACCAGUGAUUAAUUAGAUAAAUUGAUGUUAGUCCAUUUAUUUGACUUACUUAAAAGCUUUAUUUGGAGGUGUAAGAAAACAUUAUACAGAUAAUAAGAACAAGGUGUCCCUGUCACAGGAGACAUCCAUGUCAUAAUUGUUGGUUUGGAAAGUUCUUUCUCUCUUCUUUUGUUUAUUUUUGUAUUAAAUAGGCUGACAUUGUGACAUCUACUCUAAAAGACUUGUUGUAUUGUUAGCUAACUGAUGAGAGACGUGGUACUGCCGGUUAUGUUGAUAUUACAAGGUGAUCCUGGACUUGGAAAGAGUCUAUUAUUACAAGCAGCUGCGUCUCUAUUUCUCCACGUCGUAUUUAUGUGUGUGGUAAUGCCACAACAAAUGCUGGUCUUACCGUGGCUUCUGUGAAGGAUGCUUUGACAAGUGAUUAUGCUCUUGAAAGCAAUGGAGCAACAACGUGUUUCCGUUGCCAAAGCUGGCUGGACUUGUAGUAGCAAGCUUAUCAGCACCAACUUCUGUCUUGGCAGCGGCAAAGCCUGUUGGUGGCCACUACAAGUACUGUAACAAAUUCUUACUUGUAACUUUCUUCUGAUAUCAUUAUAAUUCUCAUAUUUUCCUACCCUUUCAAUCUAAAGAACCUUCUUUAAUUUCCAUUGAUACGUUACCGGCGCCUUCUUCUAACUCCUCCUGGGAAAUUAAUUUCAGCCGCACAAAAACUUUCAACGAAAAUUUGAAAAUGAGUGCUGCUUUACUAUCGCUAUUCGAUUUGGUUUUCAUAUUGCUUGCUUCAUAAGCCUGAUGAGCUGCUGGACAAGAGGGUCUCGGAGCACAUCAUGUCACUUCAUGCUGGAAGUGGAGAGAAUUCACCUGCUGCUAAGAAGUUGAAGGGUGAAUAUUGAUAUCUUACUGUAUUUUUUUUGUCAAUCAAAUUACUUUAAUAAGACUAGGAGAAGUGUUCAUAUCUACCAAUGCAGGAAACCAGAACGCUAGAGAUAUAGUUCUGAGCGUAAAAAGUGGUUCGCUAGAUAUAAUCCAAUGCCUUUUUAUGGUUUGGGUUAUUUGUGUUUAAUUUCAUAU
Long non-coding RNA from Impatiens glandulifera, 1642 nucleotides. RefSeq lists it as uncharacterized. Lineage: Eukaryota; Viridiplantae; Streptophyta; Magnoliopsida; Ericales; Balsaminaceae. The transcript has 3 exons. The record is from RefSeq and is a predicted model, not a curated record.